GCGGGUAUCGUAUAACGGUUAUUAUGUCAGUUUUCCAAACUGAAAACGGGAGUUCGACUCUCCCUACCCGCUCCA
Molecule: transfer RNA, 75 nt
Filed under: Candidatus Komeilibacteria bacterium
Lineage: Bacteria; Candidatus Komeiliibacteriota
Description: tRNA-Gly
Rfam family: tRNA
About the family: Transfer RNA (tRNA) molecules are approximately 80 nucleotides in length. Their secondary structure includes four short double-helical elements and three loops (D, anti-codon, and T loops).
Source: RNAcentral